This 337-nucleotide unclassified non-coding RNA is filed under the name soil metagenome. RNAcentral describes it as "partial contains 5.8S ribosomal RNA, internal transcribed spacer 2, and large subunit ribosomal RNA". The stretch from base 1 to 120 matches the Rfam family "5.8S ribosomal RNA", at positions 35 to 154 of the family's 154-position model. The record is from RNAcentral.
GAUGAAGAACGCAGCGAAAUGCGAUAAGUAAUGUGAAUUGCAGAAUUCAGUGAAUCAUCGAAUCUUUGAACGCACAUUGCGCCCCUUGGUAUUCCAUGGGGCAUGCCUGUUCGAGCGUCAUUUGUACCUUCAAGCUCUGCUUGGUGUUGGGUGUUUGUCUCGCCUCUGCGUGUAGACUCGCCUCAAAACAAUUGGCAGCCGGCGUAUUGAUUUCGGAGCGCAGUACAUCUCGCGCUUUGCACUCAUAACGACGACGUCCAAAAGUACAUUUUUACACUCUUGACCUCGGAUCAGGUAGGGAUACCCGCUGAACUUAAGCAUAUCAAUAAGCGGAGGA